GAGGAAGCCGGAGUCCCCGGUGAAAACCCACGCAUGCACGGGGAGAACAUGCAAACUCCACACAGAAAGGCCCCCAUUGGUGAUUCUGUUUAAAGUUACAAGUUUCUUUUAACUACAGAUAGACAGAAUGAAAUAAAAUUGACUCCAUAGCCUUUUUGUUGAAUGUGCUUUGUGUUAUCUUAAGUUGGUACGGAGUCCUUUUGGCUCCAAAAUGAUUCCAUCUCAGGAACUCAUUAUAUUACUUAGUCAACUUACAAUAUUACUUUACCUUUAUAGGGAACUGUUGGAAAGAAAUAAAAUCACGCUUGAUUUGUUAUGAAAUGAAUCAGUGCUUGAAUAUGUAUUUAUUAUUUUCUAAAGUUUUUGCUUUAUUUAUUUUUUUAACCAUUGCUUAUCAAAAAAAUUGAGCAAGAAUUAGAUGUCAAAACUCACACAUUUACUUUUUUUUUUUUGUCAAACUGACUCUCUUUCAAAAUGACCUUACAUUCUUCGUAAACCUGAAAAAAAACCCAACUCUGCCUCUGUGAUGUAUGCUGUGUUUCUUCUCUCCUUUAGUUUCCACUGCAUAAUGAAUUAUGUGAUUGGUGGUGAGGGUCUUGUGUUCACAGCAUGCAUGUGUUUCCCUUCUAAGUAAUCAGCAGGAGGUUAAUUGCACUAACAAUUAUCAGGUGUUUUGUAAUGAACAUACUCAGCCUCAGCAGGUGUGGAGUUCUUCAACCCCGAGCUCAGGGUUUAUCAAAUUGUAGCUGCAGUCAGUGCAUUAGCAGUCAAUCUCCUGAUCACCUUGACUACCUGGUUUGGCUAACCCUACAGGGAUCUGAUGCACCGUGCCCAACCCCGCCUACUUCCUGGUUGUCAGCUCUCUGCUGGUUUGGGUAAGGUCAGCCAUGCUGUCUCCCUUGGAGUGACUGGUGACUCGGUUUUUGACUUAGUUUUUAUAUUCAGUCACCAAACAGAGCACUCCAGUACCUGGAGUAGCUAACCUGGAUUGCGAACAUACUGUGUGAAUCCUUUUCCUCCAGCCAUUCAGGUGCAGAAAGGGCACCACUGCUGUUUUAGAAAGGCUGCUUGGAUGGCUAGUUUUGUUUUUCUAUUUUUUGGGGGGGGGCUUCUGUUUCCUGCGCUGUGCAGUGGAACAAAAGCUCUGCCAGCCACACUACAGGCCCCUGGCGACCAGCAAGACUGUAUGGAAAGUUGCCUUCCUUUUUUAUUUUAUUCUUUUAAUUGGAUUCUCUUUUAGGUGCGAGUGUGUAGGUUUGUGUGGUUUGGGGCUCAGCAUGUUUUUUUUUUUUUUUUUUUUUUUACCCACUGACAACCCCCACUUACUACUUUUGUUGUUCUUUUCAGGGCGAAGUGCUUUGGCAGAGCGUGUGGGGCGAUUGACGUGGAGGCUCGUUUGUGUUUCCUGGUGUGAGGCAAAUUCCUUCCAUGUGUGUGUGCAUGUGACUGUGUGUGGUGUAAUCCAGUUUUGUUUUUUCCUCCCAUUGUAUACCCAGCGUUCUGCCAGUAAGCCUUCCCCCAGUUGGGCUUGUUGUUUUUCUUUUUACUUUGUAAUAAAACUAUUUAUUGAAACUGGAACCACGUCUUGGUAUGUUGGGAAGAAUCCACGUGUCCUUGUCAGAACUGCCUUUGGGUUCCCUGGACCCUACAUUCCGGGGUGGCAUUGUUUGCUUUGGUUUAGCACAUAUCCCAGACUUUGCCACAAAAUGGUAAGUUUGAACUUCUAAUUGGAACAGAGCCAGAGCCAGACCUGAUUCAACCACUUUACACAAGGGGAAGUUUUAUAGACACGGGCAAAACCAUAGAGGGAGGGGGAAACAAACUGAUCCAAACAUUCUCAGUCAUUAAUCAAUGGCUACAAAACAAGAAAAGAGCUAACAACAUUUAAAUAAUAUAAAACUAGACUUAAAAAAAAA
Long non-coding RNA from Oryzias melastigma (Indian medaka), 1916 nucleotides. RefSeq lists it as uncharacterized. NCBI's taxonomy places the organism in Eukaryota, Metazoa, Chordata, Actinopteri, Beloniformes, Adrianichthyidae. The record is from RefSeq and is a predicted model, not a curated record. The transcript is spliced from 2 exons.